ACCGCAGGAAGACUUCGUCCGGACUCCUAUGGGAGCCGGACAUGGAGGAGUCCGGACUCCAUCCCCGGCCCCGACUGCAGGGAGACUUCGUCCGGACUCCUACGGGAGUCGGACUUCGUCCUCGACUUCAAUUACAGGUAGACUUCAUCCGGACUCCUACGGGAGCCGGACUUCUUCCCCGACUUCAAUUGCAGGUUGACUUCGUCCGUACUCCUACGGGAGCCGGACUUCGUCCCUGACUCCG
Molecule: long non-coding RNA, 244 nt
Filed under: Elaeis guineensis (African oil palm)
Lineage: Eukaryota; Viridiplantae; Streptophyta; Magnoliopsida; Arecales; Arecaceae
Description: long non-coding RNA (EGUI_LNC080289)
Source: RNAcentral